AGAAUCAACGCUGGCGGCGUGCCUAACACAUGCAAGUCGAACGCGAAAGCCCCGCAAGGGGCAAGUAGAGUGGCAAACGGGUGAGUAACGCGUGGGCGACCUACCUUCAAGUGGGGGAUAACCUUCCGAAAGGAGGGCUAAUACCGCAUAACAUCCUGUUUUUAGAUAGACGGGUAUCAAAGCCGGGGAUCGCAAGACCUGGCGCUAGAAGAGGGGCCCGCGUCCGAUUAGCUAGUUGGUGAGGUAACGGCUCACCAAGGCUCCGAUCGGUA
RNAcentral lists this ribosomal RNA (272 nucleotides) under uncultured bacterium. RNAcentral's name for it is "partial small subunit ribosomal RNA". It matches the Rfam family "Bacterial small subunit ribosomal RNA", at positions 26 to 285 of the family's 1533-position model. The record is from RNAcentral.